UUCUCUUCCCUUCCCCCGCAAAGCUCCAUCCCUCUCUUCCCUUCCCCCCUAAUCCCAGACCCUCUCUUCUUCCCCCACGCACGAACCCUAACCCAUAGCACCGAAUCCCUUCCGUUUCGCACGAACCCUAACCCUAAUCUACCCUUCCCCCGCAUCCCAUCCCUCUCUUCUUCCCCCACAUACGAACCCUAACCCAGAGCCCGCAUCCCUCUGUUCUUCACGAACCCUAACCCUAAUCUACCCUUCCCCCGCAUCCCAUCACUCUCUUCUUCCCCCACGCACGAACCCUAACCCAGAGCCCGCAUCCCUCUGUUUCGCACGAACCCAAACCCUAAUCUACCUGUCCUCUUCAGCCUUGAUAUCCAUAAACCCACACGAACUCGCGAACCGAAAUGGAUUCUCCACGACCUCGCAAAGCUCCAUCCUCGUCGUCCUCCCUCUCCCCCGAACCUCCAUCCCCGUCGUCUUUCACCCCUGAGGUCGCGACUGGACACGGUCCUCCCUCUGCUCGAUUGACCUCCCAGUGCAAGAGAUAACUACGAGGAGAAACAAUGUACGAACGAAAAUGUCAUUUGAAUGCUAAGAAAUGUAUUUGGGUGUGUGGUGUUGGAGAAACAAGGCCUAAGAGUAGAAUUACUCUACUGUGAUAAGGGAUCCAUUUUCCAACAAUUGCUUUCUUCUGUUUGUCGGUGAUUCCAUUGUGUGGCCACUUACCCCUUGUUCUUCUCAUUCUUAAUUGGCCCUACUUUGCAACUAAAUAUUAAGAUUGCACACUUUUUGUUAAUUUUCUUAGUGAUUUUUAUUUUAUUUAGGGUGUUUUAGUACUAUAUAAAGCUUAAUGGGGAGAUUGAAUUCUAAUGUAACAAUGUUGGGUUCAACCUUUUCUACUGUCUCUUUUGAGUUGCUGGCUGUUUUGAGGGAGUGGUCAAUGCGUAUGAUAUGGGGUUGGUUGACUUCAUCCUUGGAAUCUGUUUGUUGGAAUUGAGAAAAAUAAUUAGGAACCAUAUGGGAAACUUCCUCCUUUGAAAUUCUGUUCUCGAGACCAAGGUGAGCUUUUUACAUUACUAGUUAGAAGGGGAGAUUUUAUUUUAUUUAUAUAUAUAUAUUUAUAUUCAAACGUCUUUUAUGGUUUAAAAAGAAAUAGAUACAAAACUUUAUUCCCACGCUUCCACGUCAUAAGGACAUACUAAUUUGAGAUUGGGACUGAACCCAAUCAUCCAUUCUAUGCAAUCAGUGUAUCUACCUGGUUGGUGACUUCCAUGAUUGUCUUAAUUAUAGGGUCCUUGGUAUUUGGUGUUUCGUUUUAAAGGAGGACUGUGACAAACUUUAGAAAUCAUGGAACCAACAAUAUCAUUCAAGAUUGUUUCACCUUUUUCUCAAUUAAAGAAAAACUACUAUAAAAACAUAACAAAGUUAUAGGAAAGUUCAAACAGGGUUCGUUCAGAUGAGAUGUUGCCUUUGGUCUAUACUAGAUAGGUACUCAAAAUUAAGCUUCUCUGACUACAUAUUUUUUCAGAGGAUUUGCUAAAAGUGCUCAGAUCCUGCUACUUCGUGUACAUUAUGUACAAACAUGAUGGAUCUUCAUUAUGCUGGCAAAAAUAUGUGCUGUAUGGUUUUGAUUUUGCUGAUGACUUGCUCAAUGCCUACCUACAAUGUUGGUCAUUUUUCAUUUUUGAUAUAAUUCAUAUUCUCUCCCCCUUAUCAAUCAUAAAUGCAUGUGUGUAAGGGAAAAUAGUUAACUGCAAUUAAGGAUUUCCUGUUAAAUCUAACACCAAAAUAAUUAAACACUCAUAGCAUACUUAUACAACUUGAAUGAUGGCUAGUAGUUACUUAAUUAAAACUUCCUGCUAUUCAAUUUUAUUCCCUCAAUAUAAAAUUGUUAUUCAAUUGUUUUAUGGGAUUCAUCUUAGAAUGUCAUCAUCACCUUUAUCAAUAUCUUCUUCAUCUUUUCCCAAACGUACUUUGGGAAAACCAUUAUGCUUUUGCGAGCUCGAAGCCACAUUGAAAUGGUCAACUACUGCAAAAAAUCCUAGACGGCCCUUCUUAGGGUGUUCAAAGUACAAUACCCAGGCUUACCAUAGUGUAAGUUUUUCAAGUGGUUGGAUGGUAAUGAAGUGAUUGAGCUACAAGUUGAAGAAAAAAUGAAUGAACUGUUAAAGAAAGAGAAAGAGGUGGAGAAGAUACUCGAGCUUCUUGAAAAGUGGGAGAUUGAGCUGCGUAAGAUAGUGAAUCGCCUCGAGAGGGUGCAGAUGGUACUAUCCAAUAAAAGCGACGAGGUUAUGCAAAAGGAGUUGGUGCUUAAUGCACAAGAAGCUAAAAUAAGGCGUGUAGGCACGCUACUUCGGAUUUAUUGUUGUUUUGCAUUUGUACAUGUAUUUUACCUAGUGUUAUAUAAGUAAUUUGGGAUUGUUGUUAGUUCUAUGUUUAGGUAUUGGACUUAUACAUUUGUUUUAAAUUUGUAUUGGACUUGUACAUUUGUUUUCAGUUUGUAUUGGACUUAAGUUUAUCUUUGCUAGAGAAACGGUUUAUGGUUGCUA
Molecule: long non-coding RNA, 2537 nt
Organism: Juglans regia (Persian walnut)
Lineage: Eukaryota; Viridiplantae; Streptophyta; Magnoliopsida; Fagales; Juglandaceae
Exons: 3
Source: RefSeq, a predicted model, not a curated record